Miniopterus natalensis is the source of this 313-nucleotide long non-coding RNA. RefSeq lists it as uncharacterized. Lineage: Eukaryota; Metazoa; Chordata; Mammalia; Chiroptera; Miniopteridae. The record is from RefSeq and is a predicted model, not a curated record.
AGUUCAGGGCUGUUGCUGCCCCCUCUUGCAUCUCAGUGCCUACUCUCGUGGUGAAAUUGCCAUAUUUACGUCUGUAUCCUUCACAUGUGGGAGCUCCUCGAGGAAAUGACUGUGAUUAUCAUGUUCACAACCUUAGCACUUGGCCCAGGGAAAACAGUGGACUGCAGGCUGCUGUGAAGGCAGAGACCAGAUGUCACAUGUUUAUGUCCCCUCCAAGCACCUCUACAGGUCUUGGGCUUCUAUUUUGACCGUGACAAUGUGGCUCUGGAGGGCGUGGGCCACCUCUUCUGCCAGUUGGCUGAGGCGAAGCUGG